AGGAUGCGACGUCAACGGGAGCGCAGGGCCAAGAUACCCUUUAUAUCAAACCGUCUAUCCUGGAGCAGAAAAAUCCUGUCUUCAUUGCUAUAGCUACAGAUUCAGAAAUGAGCAUGUAACAAAUUCAGGCCAAAGAGAGAUGGAGGAAGAGGCCAGGAGCUAAGGAAUCCAGGCCAUCUCUAGAAGAUGGAAAAGACAAGGAAGCAGAGUCAUCCCUAGAGGGAUCCAGAGGGAACAUGGCCCUGCUGACAACUUAAUUUCAGUCGAGUGAAACUUAUUUGGGACUUCUGACUUCAGAACUGUAAAAUUAUAAAUUUGUCUUGUCUUAAACCACUAAAUAGAUUUGUUACAGAGAAAAUAGGAAACUAAUUCACCGUCCAACAGCACAUUUUGUUCAAUCUGAUAUCAUUUUGGUUAAAAAUGUUUUUCACAGGAAAAAAUACUGGGAGAAUAUACAUUGAAGGAUGUAUAAUAUUUAUUACUGGGUAAGAUUUUGCUCAUGUCGUUUUCUAGAUUAUCUAUAAUAAAUGUAUUUUUCUACAACAAAUAAAUUUGUAAAGAAGGAAGUGAAUGGUUUCCAUGAACUUUGGUCAAAAUACUCAAAAGUAAUGAUGGAAUAUAUGUACUCUAUAUCUUUUCUAAAGGAAAACUGAGAGAACACUAUUAAUUAUCAUGAUAGAAUAAUCCUUUAGAGAGAGAACAUGAGAUCAGAUUAGCUCAAAUGGAUGAAAUAGCAACACGGUACAUGCUGAAUUAAGUUAUUUAUAAACAUUGUUUAUUUAGAUUGUUCCUGUAUUGAUGGUGGUAUUCACUUUGUUGUCAUUCUCUCUUUUCUUUUUUCACUGUUAACAAUGCUACGAUAAAUAUCCUUGCACUGAGAUCUUUAUCUACUCUCUCC
This 898-nucleotide long non-coding RNA is filed under the name Homo sapiens (human). Its description in RNAcentral is "HSALNT0343170". Lineage: Eukaryota; Metazoa; Chordata; Mammalia; Primates; Hominidae. The record is from RNAcentral.